CAGUCGCCGCGGUAAAACGUAGGUGGCAAGCGUUGUCCGGGAUUAUUGGGCGUAAAGCGCGCGCAGGUGGUUUAAUAAGUCUGAUGUGAAAGCCCACGGCUCAACCGUGGAGGGUCAUUGGAAACUGUUAAACUUGAGUGCAGGAGAGAAAAGUGGAAUUCCUAGUGUAGCGGUGAAAUGCGUAGAGAUUAGGAGGAACACCAGUGGCGAAGGCGGCUUUUUGGCCUGUAACUGACACUGAGGCGCGAAAGCGUGGGGAGCAAACAGGAUUAGAUACCCGAGUAGUCCCUGUCUCUUAUAC
RNAcentral lists this ribosomal RNA (301 nucleotides) under uncultured bacterium. RNAcentral describes it as "partial 16S ribosomal RNA". It matches the Rfam family "Bacterial small subunit ribosomal RNA", at positions 509 to 807 of the family's 1533-position model. The record is from RNAcentral.